Molecule: long non-coding RNA, 664 nt
Filed under: Androctonus crassicauda
Lineage: Eukaryota; Metazoa; Arthropoda; Arachnida; Scorpiones; Buthidae
Source: RNAcentral
UUAAAAUUUUAGUGUCUCCUCCAACUAUAAAUAUUCCGAGGGGAAUUAAUUAUAUAAAGAAUGAAAUCAGAUAAUGUGAACAAGAAUGCCACGUGAUGUCACCGCGAAUUGUGGCGAUGCGCGCGGAGAUCGAGAAGCGAAACGCAAAUGAUUAGCACCAAAAUUAACCAGUGCGCAUGCCCAGACCAACAGCUUUAUUCUGCGAUUGCGCUUAACAGCAGACUAAAGGCAGGUUUACACCAAGCGCAAGCGUUAACGUUUGCGCGCGCUUUCGUCAUAGUUCCGCCCCUUUUGCGCCAUGUGGCUGUUCAUAUCUAGCGUUAAUGCACCUCAAAGUGAACGCCGAGACCUGAAGCGUGUGCACCGAGUGACUUCAACUAUGUUUAAGGCUACUGCAGGCAUAGUACGACGAGCUAGACGCUGGGAGACAAUACGAGACUUUCAGCGACCACGCGGCCACACACGUGUCAGUCUGUCGUUUCGACGAAACGUUCAUUAUGCUGUCUGACAAAAUACGCAAAUUGAUAUUAGGUGACAAUAUAGCUUUGAAGUGGUUUCUUUUAAAGAAAGAGAAAAAGAAAAGAAUCUGGGUACACAGUAUAAAGGAAGAAAGAAUAACAAAAAGACAAUUUCACCAUUAAUAUCCACGCUGAAUGAAGAUGAA